RNAcentral lists this long non-coding RNA (285 nucleotides) under Capsicum annuum. RNAcentral describes it as "long non-coding RNA (CANN_LNC009525)". The record is from RNAcentral. Lineage: Eukaryota; Viridiplantae; Streptophyta; Magnoliopsida; Solanales; Solanaceae.
UUCAAUGUUCCGUGUUCCGUGUUCCAUGUUUAUUACGAAAAUGUGUGCUGUCCUCUGCUUUAUAUUCCUGCAUUCAUGCUUUACUCUGUUUUAUAUUCCUUAUGGGUGUCGUAUCUAUGUUAUGUCAUCUGCUUCUGUGCUUUACUAUGUGUUUGUGUGAUAUCUCGUGACUUGAGCCGGGGGUCUUUCGGAAACAGCUUUUCUACUUCAUCAGAGGUAGAGGUAUGGACUGCGUACAUCUUACCCCCCCCAGACCCCACUAAGUGGGAAUACACUGGGUUUGUU